This 397-nucleotide ribosomal RNA is filed under the name uncultured bacterium. Its description in RNAcentral is "partial 16S ribosomal RNA". It matches the Rfam family "Bacterial small subunit ribosomal RNA", at positions 523 to 918 of the family's 1533-position model. The record is from RNAcentral.
AUACGUAGGUGACAAGCGUUAUCCGGAUUUACUGGGCGUAAAGGGCGUGUAGGCGGUCUUGCAAGUCAGAAGUGAAAUUCCUGAGCUCAACUCGGGCGCUGCUUCUGAAACUGCAGGACUUGAGUGCUGGAGGGGAUAGCGGAAUUCCUCGUGGAGCGGUAAAAUGCGCAGAUAUUAGGAGGAACACCGGUGGCGAAGGCGGCGAUCAGGACAGUAACUGACGCUGAGGCGCGAAAUAGGGGGGAGCAAACAGGAUGAGAUCCCCGGGUAUCCCACGCCGUAAACGAUGAAUACUAGGUGUAGGGGGUAUCGACUCCCUCUGUGCCGCAGUUAACACAAUAAGUAUUCCGCCUGGGGAGUACGGUCGCAAGGUUGAAACUCAAAGGAAUUGACGGGG